Molecule: long non-coding RNA, 199 nt
Filed under: Elaeis guineensis (African oil palm)
Lineage: Eukaryota; Viridiplantae; Streptophyta; Magnoliopsida; Arecales; Arecaceae
Description: long non-coding RNA (EGUI_LNC029397)
Source: RNAcentral
CUUUAUUUAAAGCAAUUUAGGAUUUGCUUAUCUCUACCUCUGAUCUUUGGUUCACAAAGCCAAUCAAUCACAUCUAUUUUUUUUUCUUCUUCAUGGAAGCCUUUCAUCGUGCUUGUUGAAAAUGAGGUUGGAGCACCUAUCGGAGCCCAAGGUAAGCCCCAUCGCUCCAUCUCUCUUUUCUCCUCCUUCCCAUCACGUU